RNAcentral lists this ribosomal RNA (253 nucleotides) under uncultured bacterium. Its description in RNAcentral is "partial 16S ribosomal RNA". It matches the Rfam family "Bacterial small subunit ribosomal RNA", at positions 524 to 776 of the family's 1533-position model. The record is from RNAcentral.
UACGUAGGGUGCGAGCGUUGUCCGGAAUUAUUGGGCGUAAAGGGCUCGUAGGCGGUCUGUCACGUCGGGAGUGAAAACCCGGGGCUUAACCCCGUGCCUGCUUCCGAUACGGGCAGACUAGAGGUAUGCAGGGGAGAACGGAAUUCCUGGUGUAGCGGUGAAAUGCGCAGAUAUCAGGAGGAACACCGGUGGCGAAGGCGGUUCUCUGGGCAUUACCUGACGCUGAGGAGCGAAAGCGUGGGGAGCGAACAGG